This 1589-nucleotide long non-coding RNA is filed under the name Olea europaea (common olive). RNAcentral's name for it is "long non-coding RNA (OEUR_LNC007486)". Lineage: Eukaryota; Viridiplantae; Streptophyta; Magnoliopsida; Lamiales; Oleaceae. The record is from RNAcentral.
UCCUGGAGACAAGAAAUCACUCUGAGGAUAAACAAAUACAACAGGGCAAAAAAUUUUGCUGAAACAAAUUGAAUUUUAUUUUGUUUAAAUUGGUAGUUGAACUUGAUACAGUGUCCAUUCUCUUGAAUUCAUUCAGAAGUUACAUUCCUUGAACAAAUGAACUGUACAGUUUGAACUAUUUCUUUGCGGUAUGCCAAUAUUAUGAGAACAGCACGGCACUAACUUUGAGGAGACGAGUGAAAUCUAUCUCUAUAAGUACAACAAACAGCUAGGUAACAACUGAUUUUCAACAUACGGUGUGAAGAUAAUAAUAGAGAACGAGAAGGGACAAGAAUUGAUAUUAAAAAAUUACGUUCCUGAAAAUUCAAAUUAUUUCAUACAUCCGAAUGCAUCAAUGAAUUGAAGAGAGAAAAAAUGAAGGCAGCUUGAUCCAAAAAUUACCUUAAGCUAAUCACCCAUGUGCACACGAUCAAGAAUGAUCAACCUCAACGGAUGGGCAAUUUGGUUUAAGGAUGAUCUUGAUUUGGGGAUUAGGCUUCAAGGACUUUAGACUUUGCCUAAUAGAGGAUUCAAUUCGGAAAAAAAUUUGAAAUUUCAAUUCAGAAAGAAAUUGAUUUCAAGCUUUGGGUUUUCAUUUGGAUUAAUGUCGUGUGUCAUAUGGGUGGGAAAGGCUUGUUUGGCAAAUGAAUUGAAGACAAAGCAGUGAUUUGGAACUUGUCAUCUGGAGCGAUUUAAUUGGACACAUCAUUUCACCGUUAGCCAUGUAAGCACAUUUAUUAACGGAUUUCAUCCAGUGGCUAAUAGAGUGAGACAGAAACUAAUGGGACGUUUGAUAAGUAAGCCGACACAUGAGUAAAGUUCAGUGGCCAGUGAAACAUUUACCUUCUUGAAUUCUAUAUACACGUAAUAAAAUCGUUCAUUCAAAUCACAAAAUUUUACAUUGAGCCACUCAAAAUAUGAGCUGCUCAACAUCACACAUCCACUUUGUUUCUCUUACUCGGUAUCUCCAUGCAAUUAGCACAAAUUUGACGUAAUUUAAAUAAGCAGUCCUUCCAUACAUAUGGUAUAAUCCUAGUGAAGAAGCUUUUCAUCAUUCUCGCUCUCUUCAUUAUCCUGCUCAACCACAAUGUAAAAUGGCAUAUGCCACCACGAUCGGCUUUAAUCAUUACAGCCUGGAGACAAGAAAUCACUCUGAGGAUAAACAAAUACAACAGGGCAAAAAAUUUUGCUGAAACAAAUUGAAUUUUAUUUUGUUUAAAUUGGUAGUUGAACUUGAUACAGUGUCCAUUCUCUUGAAUUCAUUCAGAAGUUACAUUCCUUGAACAAAUGAACUGUACAGUUUGAACUAUUUCUUUGCGGUAUGCCAAUAUUAUGAGAACAGCACGGCACUAACUUUGAGGAGACGAGUGAAAUCUAUCUCUAUAAGUACAUCAAACAGCUAGGUAACAACUGAUUUUCAACAUACGGUGUGAAGAUAAUAAUAGAGAACGAGAAGGGACAACAAUUGAGAGUAUAAAAGAAAGAAAAAGAACAAAGAAAAACAAGAAAAACUUCGGGUCUCCUUCGAACAAAAUAUACCUGGUGAGAAA